This 253-nucleotide ribosomal RNA is filed under the name uncultured bacterium. RNAcentral's name for it is "partial 16S ribosomal RNA". It matches the Rfam family "Bacterial small subunit ribosomal RNA", at positions 524 to 776 of the family's 1533-position model. The record is from RNAcentral.
UACGUAGGCAGCGAGCGUUGUUCGGAAUUACUGGGCGUAAAGAGUGUGUAGGCGGUGUUCCCAGUCUGUUGUGAAAUCUCCCGGCUUAACUGGGAGGGUGCAGCGGAAACUAGAAUGCUAGAGGGUGGGAGAGGUAAGCGGAAUUUCUGGUGUAGCGGUGAAAUGCGUAGAUAUCAGGAGGAACACCUGUGGUGUAGACAGCUUACUGGACCACUUCUGACGCUGAGACACGAAAGCGUGGGUAGCAAACAGG